GACGAACGCUGGCGGCGUGCUUAACACAUGCAAGUCGAACGGAAAGGCCCUGCUUUUGUGGGGUGCUCGAGUGGCGAACGGUUGAGUAACACGUUAGUAACCUGCCCUUGACUUUGGGAUAACUUCAGGAAACUGGGGCUAAUACCGGAUAGGAGCUCCUGCUGCAUGGUGGGGGUUGGAAAGUUUCGGCGGUUGGGGAUGGACUCGCGGCUUAUCAGCUUGUUGGUGGGGUAGUGGCUUACCAAGGCUUUGACGGGUAGCCGGCCUGAGAGGGUGACCGGCCACAUUGGGACUGAGAUACGGCCCAGACUCCUACGGGAGGCAGCAGUGGGGAAUAUUGCACAAUGGGCGGAAGCCUGAUGCAGCAACGCCGCGUGCGGGAUGACGGCCUUCGGGUUGUAAACCGCUUUCGCCUGUGACGAAGCGUGAGUGACGGUAAUGGGUAAAGAAGCACCGGCUAACUACGUG
Molecule: ribosomal RNA, 468 nt
Filed under: uncultured bacterium
Lineage: Bacteria
Description: partial 16S ribosomal RNA
Rfam family: Bacterial small subunit ribosomal RNA
Source: RNAcentral